RNAcentral lists this ribosomal RNA (408 nucleotides) under uncultured bacterium. RNAcentral describes it as "partial 16S ribosomal RNA". It matches the Rfam family "Bacterial small subunit ribosomal RNA", at positions 28 to 526 of the family's 1533-position model. The record is from RNAcentral.
GACGAACGCUGGCGGCGUGCUUAACACAUGCAAGUCGAACGAAGUGGCGAACGGGUGAGUAACGCGUAAUCAACCUGCCCUUCAGAGGGGAACAACAGUUGGAAACGACUGCUAAUACCGCAUACUGAAGGAGGGGAUUGCGUCUGAUUAGCUAGUAGGAGGGGUAACGGCCCACAAAGGCGAUGAUCAGUAGCCGGGCUGCAAGGUGGAACGGCCACAUUGGGAAUGAGACACGGCCCAGACUCCUACGGGAGGCAGCAGUAGGGAAUCUUAGGCAAUGGACGAAAGUCUGACCGAGCAACGCCGCGUGAGUGAAGAAGGUUUUCGGAUCGUAAAACUCUGUUGUUAGAGAAGCGGUAUCUAACCAGAAAGCCACGGCUAACUACGUGCCAGCAGCCGCGGUAAUAC